RNAcentral lists this transfer RNA (50 nucleotides) under Mizuhopecten yessoensis (Yesso scallop). RNAcentral's name for it is "tRNA-Thr". Lineage: Eukaryota; Metazoa; Mollusca; Bivalvia; Pectinida; Pectinidae. The record is from RNAcentral.
CCUCCCCUAGUUUAAGAAGAACGGUGGUCUUGUAAAUCACAGGUGUAGGU